Molecule: ribosomal RNA, 1497 nt
Filed under: Marinobacter salarius
Lineage: Bacteria; Pseudomonadati; Pseudomonadota; Gammaproteobacteria; Pseudomonadales; Marinobacteraceae
Also listed under: 1 other name
Description: 23S rRNA. Bacterial LSU
Rfam family: Bacterial large subunit ribosomal RNA
Source: RNAcentral
UAUAGUCAAGCAACUAAGCGCAUACGGUGGAUGCCUUGGCAGUCAGAGGCGAUGAAAGACGUGGAAGCCUGCGAUAAGGCUCGGGGAGCUGGCAAACAAGCUGUGAUCCGGGCAUCUCUGAAUGGGGAAACCCACCGGUCUUCGGACCGGUACCGUACGGUGAAUACAUAGCCGUACGGGGCGAACUCGGGGAACUGAAACAUCUAAGUACCCGAAGGAAAAGAAAUCAACCGAGAUUCCCUCAGUAGCGGCGAGCGAACGGGGACCAGCCCUUAAGCUGGACAACUGGUAGGAGAAGGCCCUGGAAAGAGCCGCCAUAGUGGGUGAUAGCCCCGUAUCCGAAACCUGAGUCCAGUGAAAUCGAGUAGGACGGGACACGAGACAUCCUGUCUGAACAUGGGGGGACCAUCCUCCAAGGCUAAAUACUCCUGACUGACCGAUAGUGAACCAGUACCGUGAGGGAAAGGCGAAAAGAACCCCUGUGAGGGGAGUGAAAUAGAUCCUGAAACCGUAUGCGUACAAGCAGUCGGAGCGGACUUGUUCCGUGACGGCGUACCUUUUGUAUAAUGGGUCAGCGACUUAUGUUCAGUGGCGAGGUUAACCGUUUAGGGGAGCCGUAGGGAAACCGAGUCUGAAUAGGGCGAUUUAGUCGCUGGGCAUAGACCCGAAACCGGGCGAUCUAUCCAUGAGCAGGUUGAAGGUUGAGUAACAUCAACUGGAGGACCGAACCCACUGUCGUUGAAAAGCCAGGGGAUGACUUGUGGAUCGGAGUGAAAGGCUAAUCAAGCCCGGAGAUAGCUGGUUCUCCCCGAAAGCUAUUUAGGUAGCGCCUCGGACGAAUACCACAGGGGGUAGAGCACUGUUUCGGCUAGGGGGUCAUCCCGACUUACCAACCCGAUGCAAACUCCGAAUACCUGUGAGUACUAUCCGGGAGACACACGGUGGGUGCUAACGUCCAUCGUGAAGAGGGAAACAACCCAGACCGCCAGCUAAGGUCCCCAAAUACCAGUUAAGUGGGAAACGAUGUGGGAAGGCUCAGACAGCUAGGAGGUUGGCUUAGAAGCAGCCAUCCUUUAAAGAAAGCGUAAUAGCUCACUAGUCGAGUCGGCCUGCGCGGAAGAUGUAACGGGGCUCAAACUGGUUACCGAAGCUGCGGCUGUGCACGCAAGUGCACGGGGUAGGGGAGCGUUCUGUAAGCCUGCGAAGGUGUGUCGAGAGGCAUGCUGGAGGUAUCAGAAGUGCGAAUGCUGACAUGAGUAACGACAAUGGGGGUGAAAAACCCCCACGCCGGAAGACCAAGGGUUCCUGCGCAACGCUAAUCGGCGCAGGGUGAGUCGGCCCCUAAGGCGAGACCGAAAGGUGUAGUCGAUGGGAAACGGAUUAAUAUUUCCGUACCUUGGAUAGCUGCGAUGGAGAGACGGAGAAGGCUAGGUGAGCCGGGCGACGGUUGUCCCGGUUUAAGCAUGUAGGCAGUGGGAUUAGGCAAAUCCGGUCCCA